This 1502-nucleotide ribosomal RNA is filed under the name Helicobacter pylori 908. RNAcentral describes it as "SSU rRNA". It matches the Rfam family "Bacterial small subunit ribosomal RNA". The record is from RNAcentral. Lineage: Bacteria; Pseudomonadati; Campylobacterota; Epsilonproteobacteria; Campylobacterales; Helicobacteraceae.
UUUAUGGAGAGUUUGAUCCUGGCUCAGAGUGAACGCUGGCGGCGUGCCUAAUACAUGCAAGUCGAACGAUGAAGCUUCUAGCUUGCUAGAAGUGGAUUAGUGGCGCACGGGUGAGUAACGCAUAGGUCAUGUGCCUCUUAGUUUGGGAUAGCCAUUGGAAACGAUGAUUAAUACCAGAUACUCCCUACGGGGGAAAGAUUUAUCGCUAAGAGAUCAGCCUAUGUCCUAUCAGCUUGUUGGUAAGGUAAUGGCUUACCAAGGCUAUGACGGGUAUCCGGCCUGAGAGGGUGAACGGACACACUGGAACUGAGACACGGUCCAGACUCCUACGGGAGGCAGCAGUAGGGAAUAUUGCUCAAUGGGGGAAACCCUGAAGCAGCAACGCCGCGUGGAGGAUGAAGGUUUUAGGAUUGUAAACUCCUUUUGUUAGAGAAGAUAAUGACGGUAUCUAACGAAUAAGCACCGGCUAACUCCGUGCCAGCAGCCGCGGUAAUACGGAGAGUGCAAGCGUUACUCGGAAUCACUGGGCGUAAAGAGCGCGUAGGCGGGAUAGUCAGUCAGGUGUGAAAUCCUAUGGCUUAACCAUAGAACUGCAUUUGAAACUACUAUUCUAGAGUGUGGGAGAGGUAGGUGGAAUUCUUGGUGUAGGGGUAAAAUCCGUAGAGAUCAAGAGGAAUACUCAUUGCGAAGGCGACCUGCUGGAACAUUACUGACGCUGAUUGCGCGAAAGCGUGGGGAGCAAACAGGAUUAGAUACCCUGGUAGUCCACGCCCUAAACGAUGGAUGCUAGUUGUUGGAGGGCUUAGUCUCUCCAGUAAUGCAGCUAACGCAUUAAGCAUCCCGCCUGGGGAGUACGGUCGCAAGAUUAAAACUCAAAGGAAUAGACGGGGACCCGCACAAGCGGUGGAGCAUGUGGUUUAAUUCGAAGAUACACGAAGAACCUUACCUAGGCUUGACAUUGAGAGAAUCCGCUAGAAAUAGUGGAGUGUCUAGCUUGCUAGACCUUGAAAACAGGUGCUGCACGGCUGUCGUCAGCUCGUGUCGUGAGAUGUUGGGUUAAGUCCCGCAACGAGCGCAACCCCCUUUCUUAGUUGCUAACAGGUCAUGCUGAGAACUCUAAGGAUACUGCCUCCGUAAGGAGGAGGAAGGUGGGGACGACGUCAAGUCAUCAUGGCCCUUACGCCUAGGGCUACACACGUGCUACAAUGGGGUGCACAAAGAGAAGCAAUACUGCGAAGUGGAGCCAAUCUUCAAAACGCCUCUCAGUUCGGAUUGUAGGCUGCAACUCGCCUGCAUGAAGCUGGAAUCGCUAGUAAUCGCAAAUCAGCCAUGUUGCGGUGAAUACGUUCCCGGGUCUUGUACUCACCGCCCGUCACACCAUGGGAGUUGUGUUUGCCUUAAGUCAGGAUGCUAAAUUAGCUACUGCCCACGGCACACACAGCGACUGGGGUGAAGUCGUAACAAGGUAACCGUAGGUGAACCUGCGGUUGGAUCACCUCCUU